RNAcentral lists this transfer RNA (68 nucleotides) under Syntrophomonas sp. RNAcentral describes it as "tRNA-Pro". It matches the Rfam family "tRNA". From Rfam's summary of the family: Transfer RNA (tRNA) molecules are approximately 80 nucleotides in length. The record is from RNAcentral. Lineage: Bacteria; Bacillati; Bacillota; Clostridia; Eubacteriales; Syntrophomonadaceae.
GGAUGUGGCGAAGCUUGGUAUCGCGCUCGGUUCGGGACCGAGAGCUCGCAGGUUCAAAUCCUGUCAUC